RNAcentral lists this ribosomal RNA (721 nucleotides) under Telopea aspera. RNAcentral describes it as "eukaryotic LSU rRNA". The record is from RNAcentral. Lineage: Eukaryota; Viridiplantae; Streptophyta; Magnoliopsida; Proteales; Proteaceae.
CUGUAGGUGAACCUGCGGAAGGAUCAUUGUCGAUACCUGCUCAGCAGAUAGACCCGUGAACAUGUCGCAUCAUAUGAUCAAAGGGGGAAGGGUGUGGAGGGGGUGUGAGCCCCUUCCUCCCUGACCCCCUUGUAAGGUCGGUCCACGGGUAUCCGUGGCAUUGACCCAAACACAACAAUCGGCGCGGUUGGCGCCAAGGAAUUCACAACGGAAUGGGCGUGCCAUCGUACCUUUGGUGUGAUGUGUAUUGUCUUGAAUCCGAAUAUCACGAAAGACUCUCGGCAACGGAUAUCUCGGCUCUUGCAUCGAUGAAGAACGUAGCGAAAUGCGAUACUUGGUGUGAAUUGCAGAAUCCCGUGAACCAUCGAGUCUUUGAACGCAAGUUGCGCCCUAGGCCAUCAGGCUGAGGGCACGCCUGCCUGGGCGUCACGCAUCGCGUCGCCCGCCCUCUGUUGCCCUUGUGGUGGCCGAGUGCGGUGCGGAGUUUGGCCCCCCGUGCCCCGUUUUGGAGUACGGUCGGUCCAAAGGAAAGAGCCCCCUGUGUGGCGAGCGUCACGACGAGUGGUGGUUGARGCCACUUUGCCAUUUAGUCCGGACGUCGUGUGCGUUUAGUCCAUACGUUGGGUUCUUGUAACCCUGUAAAGGCGUUGUCUCGUGACACGCUUCGACCGCGACCCCAGGUCAGGCGGGGCUACCCGCUGAGUUUAAGCAUAUCAAUAAG